Molecule: ribosomal RNA, 465 nt
Filed under: uncultured bacterium
Lineage: Bacteria
Description: bacterial SSU rRNA
Rfam family: Bacterial small subunit ribosomal RNA
Source: RNAcentral
GCCAGACUCUACGGGAGGCAGCAGUGAGGAAUAUUGGUCAAUGGACGAGAGUCUGAACCAGCCAAGUAGCGUGAAGGAUGACUGCCCUAUGGGUUGUAAACUUCUUUUAUAAAGGAAUAAAACGAGGCACGUGUGCCUUUUUGCAUGUACUUUAUGAAUAAGGAUCGGCUAACUCCGUGCCAGCAGCCGCGGUAAUACGGAGGAUCCGAGCGUUAUCCGGAUUUAUUGGGUUUAAAGGGAGCGUAGGUGGAUUGUUAAGUCAGUUGUGAAAGUUUGCGGCUCAACCGUAAAAUUGCAGUUGAAACUGGCAGUCUUGAGUACAGUAGAGGUGGGCGGAAUUCGUGGUGUAGCGGUGGAAUGCUUAGAUAUCACGAAGAACUCCGAUUGCGAAGGCAGCUCACUGGACUGCAACUGACACUGAUGCUCGAAAGUGUGGGUAUCAAACAGGAUUAGAUACCCGCGUAA